AACGUAGGGGGCAAGCGUUGUCCGGAAUUACUGGGCGUAAAGGGCGUGUAGGUGGCUCGUGAAGUCAGGAGUGAAAACCCGGGGCUCAACUCCGGGACUGCUUUUGAAACCAGCGGGCUUGAGUGCAGGAGAGGGAAGUGGAAUUCCCAGUGUAGCGGUGAAAUGCGUAGAUAUUGGGAGGAACACCAGUGGCGAAGGCAGCCCCCUGGGCCAGUACUGACGCUCAUGCACGAAAGCGUGGGGAGCAAACAGG
This 253-nucleotide ribosomal RNA is filed under the name uncultured bacterium. RNAcentral describes it as "partial 16S ribosomal RNA". It matches the Rfam family "Bacterial small subunit ribosomal RNA", at positions 524 to 776 of the family's 1533-position model. The record is from RNAcentral.